This 406-nucleotide ribosomal RNA is filed under the name uncultured bacterium. RNAcentral's name for it is "partial 16S ribosomal RNA". It matches the Rfam family "Bacterial small subunit ribosomal RNA", at positions 30 to 526 of the family's 1533-position model. The record is from RNAcentral.
AUUGAACGCUGGCGGCAGGCCUAACACAUGCAAGUCGAACGAGUGGCGGACGGGUGAGUAAUGUCUGGGAAACUGCCUGAUGGAGGGGGAUAACCACUGGAAACGGUAGCUAAUACCGCAUACCAUCGGAUGUGCCCACCUGGGUUUAGCUAGUAGGUGGGGUAAAGGCUCACCUAGGCGACGAUCCCUAGCUGGUCUGAGAGGAUGACCAGCCACACUGGAACUGAGACACGGUCCAGACUCCUACGGGAGGCAGCAGUGGGGAAUAUUGCACAAUGGGCGCAAGCCUGAGGCAGCCAUGCCGCGUGUGUGAAGAAGGCCUGCGGGUUGUAAAGCACUGUCAGCGAGGAGGCGUUACUCGCAGAAGAAGCACCGGCUAACUCCGUGCCAGCAGCCGCGGUAAUAC